AUUGAACGCUGGCGGCAGGCCUAACACAUGCAAGUCGAGCGAGCGGCGGACGGGUGAGUAAUGUCUGGGAAACUGCCUGAUGGAGGGGGAUAACUCCUGGAAACGGUAGCUAAUACCGCAUACCAUCAGAUGUGCCCAGAUGGGAUUAGCUAGUAGGUGGGGUAAUGGCGCACCGAGGCGACGAUCCCUAGCUGGUCUGAGAGGAUGACCAGCAACACGGGAACUGUGACACGGGCCAGACUCCUACGGGAGGCAGCAGUGGGGAAGAUUGCACAAUGGGCGCAAGUCGGAUGCAGCCAUGCCGCGUGUGUGAAGAAGGCCUUCGGGUUGUAAAGCACUUUCAGCGGUGAGGCGUUACCCGCAGAAGAAGCACCGGCUAACUCCGUGCCAGCAGCCGCGGUAAUUC
RNAcentral lists this ribosomal RNA (406 nucleotides) under uncultured bacterium. RNAcentral's name for it is "partial 16S ribosomal RNA". It matches the Rfam family "Bacterial small subunit ribosomal RNA", at positions 29 to 526 of the family's 1533-position model. The record is from RNAcentral.